GACGAACGCUGGCGGCGUGCUUAACACAUGCAAGUCGAACGGAAAGGCCUCUUUCGGGGGGUACUCGAGUUGCGAACGGGUGAGUAACACGUGAGUAACCUGCCCUUGACUUUGGGAUAACUUCAGUAAACUGGGGCUAAUACCGGAUAGGAGCUCCUGCUGCAUGGUGGGGUUUGGAAAGUUUCGGCGGUUGGGGGUGGACUCGCGGCUUAUCGGCUUGUUGUUGGCGUAGUGGUUUACCAAGGCCUUAACGGGAAGCCGGCCUGAGAGGGUGAGCGGCGACAUUGGGACUGAGGGACGGCCCAGAUUCCGACGGGAGGGAGAAGGGGGGAAGAUUGCACAAGGGGUGGCAGCCUGAUGCAGCAACGCCGUGUGCGGGAUGACGGCCUUCGGGUUGUAAACCGAUUUCGCUCAUGACGAAGCUUUGUGUGACGGUAGUGGGUAAAGAAGCACCGGCUAACUACGUG
This 467-nucleotide ribosomal RNA is filed under the name uncultured bacterium. RNAcentral's name for it is "partial 16S ribosomal RNA". It matches the Rfam family "Bacterial small subunit ribosomal RNA", at positions 28 to 507 of the family's 1533-position model. The record is from RNAcentral.